CGUUGCAAAUUGUUAUGAUUUGAAGAGGGCUAGGAGACAUUAAUUCAAGCAUAUGCAGAUCUUUGCAGGUGCUUCUUCCUACAGAGCAGUCAAACAGCGGGACACUUUCUGGCUUCACAGUUACUGCGCUCCUGACAGGCUCCUUCUGGGAGGUGAGCUCCAAGACUUUCUUCAGUGCUGGAAGGAACGUGAAUUUUCCUAUUA
Molecule: long non-coding RNA, 204 nt
Filed under: Struthio camelus australis
Lineage: Eukaryota; Metazoa; Chordata; Aves; Struthioniformes; Struthionidae
Description: lncRNA (ENSSCUG00000003061.1)
Source: RNAcentral